AGAGUGAUGAUGGUUGGUUUUUCUAAAGCCUCCAGGACAUGGCCAGCAUGUGAUCAUCACCCAGGUAGACAGUCCUUGAAUGCCAGACUAUAAGACUGGGCUGAGAUCCCAGGAGCAUGGGAAGCUGGGAAUGAGGCUCCUAUGAAAAGGUAAAGGGAAGAUUUGUGGGGCAGAAAGAGGGAGGAGAAAGAUGAGGGGAGCCAGCCUUGUGUCUGAGAAAGAAGAAUCCAGGCGCCACCAGGGGAACAGCUGCCUCAGGGAUCAAGUUAAGCAACCCAAGAACAGCCAAAUGGAUCACCAGACUUAUGGAUUUUGAUUUACAGGUGGAAUAUCUUCCAGGUCUUCAGAAUACAACUGCAGGUUGUUUAUCUCAACUUCCACUUCCAAGCUAAGGGGAGAUCCCAGAAGAAGAGGAUGAAGGAGUAGUAAUUGUGCAAAUAGGUUCAUCCUCUCAUGGAGUGAUCACGUCUUCUGAAUGGAAAGAGGCCCUCAGUGAUGAUCAAGUACUUACUGAACUUAAACCAUACAUAACUAAUGGAUGGCACACAAAAACAAGGUGGCCAGAAGUUUCAUUUGCUGACAACAGUACUACAAACAAGGUGAUCCAGUUCAUGGCUGCAGUAUUUGCAAGAGAAGGUCUCCCUAAAGAAUUAGUGACUGACAAUGGGACACAGCUUACCUAAUUUGAAAUGGUACAAUACUUGCAUAACCGUGGGAUAAAAUACUAUUUCCUUGUACCAUCCUCGAAGAAAUGGUUUAGUGGAAAGAAUGAACAGAUUCAUGAAAGAAAGUUUAUGAAUGGUUACUAUGCAACAACAACCCUGAAAAGAGGCAAUCCAUGAAACUUUAUGUGCUUUUCAAACUACUCCUCAUUCUACUACUGGAAAAUCACUUUUUGAACUGCUGAGAGGACACAAAGCUGCCACCAAACUUACCGAAUGGCAACCACUGAUAGGGCUUUCCAUGUCAUCUCACUCUGAGAAUGCAGAGAUUCAAGAUUGGGUAAGGGAGAAGCAACAAAAAUACAAAUUGUAUGUGGAUCAGAAAUGGGAUGCAAAACAGUGAAUAUUUCAGGUGGGGCACUUUGUUUGAGUCUGGCUGCCACAAAGUGAGAAAGGGAUUUUACUGAUAUUCUGGACCAAAACAAAUAAUCAAAAUCUGAGGAGAUUAUGUCAUAUUGGAUGAUGGAAAGAAAUGGAACCAUUCGAGACUUUCCAGUAUGUAUACUAUGAGAAAAAAGGGGGGAAGGGAGUCUGAUAUCCAGAGAUGAACUGAAGAGGAAUUUGAUCUUGCUUCUAGUUUUGACCUCACAGAGGAGGCUGAUGAAAAUGAUGGACAAUCCUCUUUACCAGAAAAAAUAUCACUAACAGGUCAUGAGCCAGAGAAACCAAGAAUAAGGAGAGGUGUGCACAACAAGAGUCUAAGGAUGUGCAUGGAACCGGUUUGGCGCUCCUUUUCUGGAGUGCCAAACCAGUUCGAAGUGCUGACGUUCAAGCUGGUUUGGAGUCCAGGGCGGGGGGUUACCUUAAGGGACAGGGAGGGUGCCUCCUACCUGCCCAUUCCUGCCCUGCCGUUUCCCCCCCUCUGGCACUGUCCCAAAAAGUGUGGGCACGGGGCUGCAGCAUUCCUCCUUGCAGCCCCUUUCAGCGUCACCACACAAAUGACCAAUGUGUGUGCACAUGUGUGUGUAAGCAUG
Hemicordylus capensis (graceful crag lizard) is the source of this 1696-nucleotide long non-coding RNA. RefSeq lists it as uncharacterized. The record is from RefSeq and is a predicted model, not a curated record. Lineage: Eukaryota; Metazoa; Chordata; Lepidosauria; Squamata; Cordylidae. The transcript has 3 exons.